GGUCCGUAGGCGGUCUUGUAAGUCAGUGGUGAAAGCCCAUCGCUCAACGGUGGAACGGCCAUUGAUACUGCUGGACUUGAAUUAUUAAGAAGUAACUAGAAUAUGUAGUGUAGCGGUGAAAUGCUUAGAGAUUACAUGGAAUACCAAUUGCGAAGGCAGGUUACUACUAAUUGAUUGACGCUGAUGGACGAAAGCGUGGGUAGCGAACAGGAUUAGAUACCCUGGUAGUCCACGCCGUAAACGAUGGAUACUAGCUGUUGGGAGCAAUUUCAGUGGCUAAGCGAAAGUGAUAAGUAUCCCACCUGGGGAGUACGUUCGCAAGAAUGAAACUCAAAGGAAUUGACGGGGGCCCGCACAAGCGGUGGAGCAUGUGGUUUAAUUCGAUGAUACGCGAGGAACCUUACCAAGGCUUAAAUGUAGAUUGACCGGUUUGGAAACAGACUUUUCGCAAGACAAUUUACAAGGUGCUGCAUGGUUGUCGUCAGCUCGUGCCGUGAGGUGUCAGGUUAAGUCCUAUAACGAGCGCAACCCCUGUUGUUAGUUGCCAGCGAGUAGUGUCGGGAACUCUAACAAGACUGCCAGUGCAAACUGUGAGGAAGGUGGGGAUGACGUCAAAUCAUCACGGCCCUUACGCCUUGGGCUACACACGUGCUACAAUGGCCGGUACAGAGAGCAGCCACUGGGUGACCAGGAGCGAAUCUAUA
RNAcentral lists this ribosomal RNA (704 nucleotides) under Flavobacterium sp. RNAcentral's name for it is "bacterial SSU rRNA". It matches the Rfam family "Bacterial small subunit ribosomal RNA", at positions 566 to 1277 of the family's 1533-position model. The record is from RNAcentral. Lineage: Bacteria; Pseudomonadati; Bacteroidota; Flavobacteriia; Flavobacteriales; Flavobacteriaceae.